AUUGAACGCUGGCGGCAGGCCUAAUACAUGCAAGUCGAACGAGUGGCGGACGGGUGAGUAACGUCUGGGAAACUGCCUGAUGAAGGGGGAUAACUACUGGAAACGGUAGCUAAUACCGCAUACCAUCGGAUGUGCCCAGAUGGGAUUAGCGAGUAGGUGGGGUAAAGGCUCACCUCGGCGACGAUCCCUAGCUGGUCGUGGAGGGUGACCGGCCACACUGGGACUGAGACACGGUCCAGACUCCUAUGGGAGGCAGCAGGGGGGAAUAUUGCACAAUGGGGGCAAGCCUGAUGCAGCCAUGCCGCGUGUAUGAAGAAGGCCUUCGGGUUGUAAAGUACUUUCAGCGGGGAAGCGUUACCCGCAGAAGAAGCACCGGCUAACUCCGUGCCAGCCGCCGCGGUAAUUC
RNAcentral lists this ribosomal RNA (406 nucleotides) under uncultured bacterium. Its description in RNAcentral is "partial 16S ribosomal RNA". It matches the Rfam family "Bacterial small subunit ribosomal RNA", at positions 30 to 526 of the family's 1533-position model. The record is from RNAcentral.